RNAcentral lists this unclassified non-coding RNA (450 nucleotides) under Hevea brasiliensis (rubber tree). Lineage: Eukaryota; Viridiplantae; Streptophyta; Magnoliopsida; Malpighiales; Euphorbiaceae. The record is from RNAcentral.
CAAAAAAAAAAAAAAAAAAAUCCAGAACCUUCAAAUUCAUCAGCACUGGUGAUGGUGCACCUAUUUUCAGUCUACUCAAAUGAUUGUAAAUCUUCUUAGCAAUUAUAUCAAUGAAAGAUGCAACUAUCUGGUAGGUGUACCAAGCAAAUAUGCCCGAUUUACUGCACCUGUUCAUAACAGUGAGAUUAUAUGAGAAAUGGCAGUAUUUGAUGGCAAAAUAUCACCAUGGAAACAUGCAUAUUCUUGGUUCCAGCAAAACUUGGUUUUUCUUACACUGACAACAAGAAGUAGGAAUUUCAUGUAUGUGAAAUCAUUCAGGCAUAAAAUAAAAGUACAGGCCUAAUAUCCUUUUGAAGGGACAUGUGCUUGAGAAGUGGAAGCAGGACAUCCAAAUGGCAAAAGCUACACAAGCCAGUUCACAGAAACAAACAGCAACGAGGUAGAACAAAA